AUUUAAAAAUUAAGGGUGUUACAUACAAUUUACUUGCACAUAUACCAUUUGAGCCCAAUCCUAAUUUAUUAAGAAAAUUUAUUAUGAACCUAAGAAAACGUUUAGUAACUCAUCUCCUUUGCUUUCAGUUGUGCUCUCAGAACGGUUCGAAGAUAGCUUCUUGAAUAGCAGUUUGAUGGCAAAAUAAUUAUCGUCAAUGUCAUACACGUCUAUCUACCAUUUGGUGAUCUUUGGAAAUACCUUUUCAUUUCUCUUGCUCUUUCAAGAACCAUAAGGGAAAAACCAAACGAAAUCGAUGCAUUUCCACCCACUUGAAAUGGUCCCAAGACAAUGCUUCCAGAGAAAAUGAAUUAGUUCAACCUCCAAUUAGUUCUGGAGUUCUUUAGAUAGAUUGUCUUUGUAAUCACCCUAAAGCAUAUACCAGAUGAUAAGAUUGAGCCUUAUAGUCACAAUUUCAACACGUAAUAGGCACAAUAUGAAAUCGUACCCAUAUGCUUUAGAAUGAUACAACAUCCAGAUAUACAUAUGCUUUAUAUUAGUUUUACAUUGUAGUUUUAUUGCUGGAGUCCCAACUGAACUGCAAUAUGCAUAUAUAAAAGACUGACCUAAAUCAUCCCAUAAAUUAGAGAGCUGUAGUACCAAAUAGCCAUAUAGAUGUUGCAUCACAAUUCAUUGGCAAGCACUGUAGAACCUUAAUGAGCUUCAAGUGCUAAUCCAACCUUCUCAUUCAAACUCUUUAUGUACUCCUUUCUUGCAGGAUGGUCUUCCUGUGGGCGGUUAAAGGGUGUCCACACUGGCUCUCCCACAAAUAACCUCAUCAACUUAACAUAGUUACUAGUGUCAAGAGUGAAACGGUGGUAGAUUCCUGCUGGCAGAAUAAUAAGAUCACCUGCCUUGAUCCAGAUUCGGAUCCAACGAUCAUCCUUGUCUCGAACAUCAAAAUAUCCACUCCCCUGUAAGCAGUAGCGUAUCUCCUCAUCAGCAUGAAUGUGCUCUGUAUAGAAGUUCUUCAGCUUCUCUUCAUAGUUAGCAACUUUCUCUGGGCACAAAUCAAGUAAGUCCAUGUAAUUGUAUCCCCUCGCUUCCCUGAUCUUCUUCAAUUCUUCACCGUCCUCGUAGUCCUCUGGAUUCAAGUGCCAAUACAGCACUCCCAAUUCAGCCAAGUGAUCCAAGGAAACGAACUCCUGUGGGUUGCGGUGAUGUGGGAGCCUUUGGUCUUCACUGCUUUCGUCCAUGAACCAUGCCUGCAACAGAGCACGACCUCCAAUUAAUAUCCCAGCCAGAAGAUUACUGGAGCAUAUACUUAAUCCGACGAGGAAAAAGAACUCACGUCAAUAGCCAUGGGUGAGAUUGAAAUGGAAUCCUCACUGCUUCGCGCGGGAGUCAAGACUCUGCUAAGACCGUUGCUUUAGAGGAGAAGAGGGCAGGGGCAUCAGGCGUCCUUAUUCAGACAAAUGUAGAUUCCCGAUUUCUCGGUGACUUACAGUUACGUGCCACGUGUUCAAUCCUUUUCCCUCUUGCUAUUUGUGGUGCUAUUGCUUGGCCGAAAUAAUAUCGCGUUUGGCAUUUACCGGUGAUGAGGGACGCAAGUGAUUCAAUCGUUUUUCUUGGCAAGAA
Molecule: unclassified non-coding RNA, 1617 nt
Filed under: Hevea brasiliensis (rubber tree)
Lineage: Eukaryota; Viridiplantae; Streptophyta; Magnoliopsida; Malpighiales; Euphorbiaceae
Source: RNAcentral